AAAAGCUGCAGUACAUUUUGCCAAAUUUUGGAGCCAUCAACGAAAAUUUUCAAAAAGCCCUAAUUCUAAUUCAAUUCUUUGUCAAUUGUUCAUUUCCCCCUAAUAAAUUAUUACACUGUUUCAAAUUGAAAAUUUUAGGGUUUGAUCCAUCUCUUCAAUGUCGAUGCUGUGUCCCUAGGGGAACGAUUUGUUUGUUUAUGGGGAAAAGCAAAGCAAAUACUUCUUCUAUAUGGAGACGACGUCGUUGUUGCGAAGAAAGAUGCUUUGUCGAUGGAGAUGUCCCUGAAGCUAAACUUUCUUUCUCUACAACACCAUCAUCACUUUAUAUCUUCUUUCUCUCUCUAAAUUCACACCCUCCCCCACAAUGAAGAAGAAGAAACGAGAUAGCGCCGUCGCCGGAGUUCAAAUCAUCCACGGCGCACUCUUCCACCGCUGCCGCCGCCACCUCCACCACUUCAUCCUGCUCCUCUCCGCCGUCGCCAGCGCCCUUCUCUUCCUCAUCGCCGUCAUUUCAUUUCUCUCUCCUCCGAUCACCAACCAUAGCCACCCACACAGCUCGUUGGAAAAAAAUGGGUAUGUGGUUCGAUUGAAUGUGGAACGAAGGAUGGUCUUUCUUGUUCCGUUUCGAUUUUGCUUGUGAUUUGUUGAAUUUUUCUGACGAAUGGAGGGAGUUUAGGCCGUGAUCUAUGGAGCUCGAGGCAAUCGAAUAUCCAUUACGGAUGCAGUAAUGCCAACUAUAAAUUUCCGAAUCAUUGUAUUGUCUUCUCAAUCUCUGUGUCUACACACACACACGCACACAUUAUCUGUGCUUUUACUCCCUUAGCGAAAAUUGCAAUUUAUAAACAGAAAUCUAGGGAUCGAAAUUUGAGCUAGAUUAAGCAAUCUUUGACUUUUCUUUUUUAUUUGACAAUUUAUUGAAAGCGUAGUUUUGUCAUUGCUAUAGUGUAACUAGAGGAUUUGACAGGCUUUUUGUACUUUUUUUUUCUGUUGAUCCUCUUUAGUAGAAACAUCCUCUUAGAAGAAACAUUUUCUUAUCCCGCCCCUGAGGGAGACUGUAGGGUUAACGCAAGAUCUAUUCAUUUUUUUUGAUGACUGUUUGUGCAUAAUUGAGUAGUAGCAAAUCUUUAUGGUAUUACUAGCAAAUCUAUUCGUUUUUGUUGUUACUUAUAUCUGAGAAAAAAUACUUUUAAUUUAUAAUUGGGGGUGUAAUUGUGAAGAUCAUGUCUUCUUUUUUUUUUUUUUUUUUUUUUCUCGAUUUUUUCCAUUUAUUUAUUUUUUAUUAUUUAAUUAUUUAAUUUAUUAUUUAACUGAUUGAUUUUUUUUUUUUUUUUUUUUUCGCAUAACCUUAGGGUUUUGAGUUCGGAUUUGAUUUUCGGCAUCGCAUGCAUUCACCUCAUUUUAUUUUCAUAAAAUACGUAGUCUUACUUUGAUAGAAAAGUAUGCUAGCUUGUUUUACUUUUUGAGGGGUGUGGAUAUAUAAUUUCUUUGGAAAUAUUUUCACUUUUUGGGAUGCUUUGUGUAAUUAACUUUUUGGGAUAUUUUUCUUUAGAGAUUAUUUUGCAAUUAUUUUGUGAGAUAUUUUGGGGACCAUUUUAUAAUUUUUGGAAAGUGUGACAAGUGUCACACUCUUAUUGGAUCACUUGUUGACUUUGUGGUGGAAACACUUGGAAGCCUUGUUUUGUGACAAGUGUAGGGUGAGGAUUGGCCUUUGGUUGGUGUACUUGUUGGCUUAAGAUUGUGACAAGUGUAGGCCUGUGAUUAAGCCUUGUGAGGAGGCCUAUGAUCUUGACAAGUGUAGGCUUAGGAUUAAGUCUUGUGAGGGUGCUUUUGAUCAUGACAACUGGAGGGUAGAGAUUAGUGUGUGUGUGUGCGGUAGUGCUAGGGGUGGCAAAUUACGACACGAUACGAUAACACAACACGAGUUAAAAGGGUUUGGGUUUGGCAUAAACGGGUUUGGGUCAUAAAGGGUCGACACGAUUAACUCAUUUACUUAAUUGUGUUGGGUUAGGGUUGAGGAGUUUAACCCGUGUAACUCGUUUAUGACCCAUUUAACUUAACAUGUUAUAAUUGUGAUUAUGACAUAUGUAAUAUGUUACCUGUUUAAACCCAAUUACUAUGGAUAGUUAAGUCAUUUUAAUAUAAACCUUGUUUAUGCCUUAUGAUUUUUCUUUUUAUUUUGAAUAUUUGGGUUAAUUAUGACAAUUUUUUUUUCUAUUAUUUAGUAUUUGAUUAAAUAUUAAAUGUCUCAUUUUAAUAAACAUGUCAUUAAACGGGUUAACACGCUUACCUGUUUAAUAAACGGGUUGGGUUAGUGUUGAGAUUUUUGACACGAUUAUUAAAUGGGUUGGGUUUGGGUUUACCUAUUUAGUAUAACAUCCUUAUAUCGACACGACACGAACACGACCCACGAACACGAAUUGCCACCUCUAGGUAGUGCUAGCAUUGAUGAAUUGCUUUGUGUCACACAUUGUGAGUGGAAAAAGAUGUAAUCUUCCACUCAUUUCAUCUUCUUCCUCAUACCUCUCCUUGGCCACCAUUAAACUAAUAACUUCAUUUUAACUACCUUCCCCUCAUAUUGACUUUUUUUUGUGACCAAACUACCCUCAUCACAAUCACUACCUUCCCCGACUCUGUGUUGUGAACCUUCUUCCACUUUCUCUCUCUACCUUUCUGUCAUGAUUGUUGAAUUUUUCCCAGACAAGAAAAGAGUUUUAGAGAGAGAGGGGCAAUUGCAAAGAAGGGCGACAAAGAUCUUUGGUGUCUAAAAUUGCCAAAUUUGUUUUAUUUCUCUUUCCUCAAUCAUUCUCUUCCUUCUUCGAUUUAGGUUUUUUUUCCACCACUGACAUUUUGUUUUUCCCACCAAAUCAAACACACACACACACAUAUAUAUCACCAAUCACCCCCACGAUAUACUGCCGCCGCAUCAGAGCUCCACUAUCCACACCCACAUUCAUCAUCACCCCCCACAACCACCACCAAAUUUACACCAAAUCAAACUAAAUAAUUACCUUCUGAAAAACAAAUUGACACCACCCAUAGCCACCACCAAGGCUUCACCUUCGUCCCCGUCACAACAUAGCUUCCACCACAGAGAACCUAAGACCCCAAACGGAGCUCCGACGCCGUCAUCACUGAUUGCUCUGACUAGAUGCCGACAUUAGGAGCUCGCUGUUGCUUUGUCGUCACUUGGUAACACGCUGAUAUGAACUUGGUUUUGUUACUUGGAGCUCGUCGGAAUUGAGUUUGGUUUCGCUGACACUAAGAGCUUGCCGGAAUUGGGUCAGUUCAGUUCUGACAUUCGUCGCCGGAGAUGAACUAGGUUUCGCUACUUGGGGAUUCACUAGGAUCACGAGACGCGGAUUUUCGCUACCGAUUAUGACGCCAUCAAGGCUUACGUACGCCAGAAAGUCAAGGUCGAGGGUUCCGGCGUCGACGGUGGUGAUCAACAGUGCAAUGUUGGAGAGCUUACAAGGGUUGGGUCCAGCCCUCCCGUUGGAGCACGAGACGCGGAUUUUCGCCGCCGAUUACCACACCGCGGCCGUAAGCCUGUAAUCUCUGCCCCCACCUCUGCGCCCCAAUCUAGUCAAGAUGCUGACUUGCCCUUUACUAGUGUAGUGGGGUGAUGGUCUACCGAAACUCGAGCUUUUACUCUACAAACCUGUUCAUAGUUGCUUCCUCAUAAUAUAGAUGAUAAAAAUGACUGCUUACAUUCGAAAAUAAGGGCUUCAAUCUGUGAUGCCAUGGCGGAUGUUGAAGUUUCAGUUGCGACAACAAUUGACUAUUGCUUCCGUUAAACCCUUUGACAUUGAUCUUCUUGGGCAAGGGCUGGAACGGGCUGAACUGAAGAAGUGAAGGGAUGAGAUGUCGAUCGACUAGAAUGAUUGGGAAAGCUUUUCCACAUUUACAGCUUCAGAGCUACUUAGAUUCUUGGAACUUGAAGAAAAAGAAAGUGCUAGCAAGAAGACAUGACUGCUUGGGGUACCGAAAAGGGUAUGUAGUAGUGGAUGUGGAGUUGGGAACAGUAGUGGUUAUGGUCGAGAGGAUGGUGGCGGUGGUGUGGGGUUGGGAUAGGGGGUGUUUUGUCAUUUAAGAUUUUAUAUUUUUUGUAUUAAAAAAUUAAGGGUAAAAGAGUCAAUUCGCAUGAUUGGAGUGUAAGUAAAAGUUAAAACUAAAAUUUUCAUCUAGUUAAAAUAUGACCUAACCUUAGGAGGUAUCGGUGUAAUUUACCCUAAAAAAAUAACUCAUAAAACCAGUGAAUGAAAUAAGGGUAAAAUGCUUGACACCUUCUAAAUUAAACUAAUGAAAAAUAAAUAAAUGCUCAACUCUCUCUUCAGUUUUGUUUGACUUUACUUUGAUAGUUGAUUACAUGUGUUAAAAUCAAUUAAUGUGAAAAUACAAAAUGCCAAAACUACCAUUUCGUGUUGUGAAAUGUACAAAUAAGCCCUAACCACUUUUUAAAAGGACAGUUUUGACUCAAUUAGUUAGACCUUUUUACCCUCAUAUGUGAAGACUUUAUUAUUAUUAUUAUUAUUUACACUUUUAAAUGAAGUUUUUCUCUUUACCUUUUGUUUUUUUAGUUCAAUUUAUUGAAAGAAUAUAAAGAGUCCAUAUUAAAUUGAAAGAAUAUUCUUAGUUGGAGAGAGGGACGCAACUCAUUGAACUCAACUUGCAAAUCACCCCCAAAAACAAAAACAAAAAUAAAAAAAAAAAAUUAAAAUAAUGAUUCGUUCAAGAAAUACCGAGUUUUGUGGAGAGACUGAUGCAA
RNA transcript from Cornus florida, 4765 nucleotides. RefSeq lists it as uncharacterized. The record is from RefSeq and is a predicted model, not a curated record. The transcript is spliced from 3 exons. Lineage: Eukaryota; Viridiplantae; Streptophyta; Magnoliopsida; Cornales; Cornaceae.